This 853-nucleotide ribosomal RNA is filed under the name uncultured bacterium. RNAcentral describes it as "bacterial SSU rRNA". It matches the Rfam family "Bacterial small subunit ribosomal RNA", at positions 9 to 873 of the family's 1533-position model. The record is from RNAcentral.
AGAGUUUGAUCCUGGCUCAGGAUGAACGCUGGCGGCGUGCUUAAUACAUGCAAGUCGAACGGAGAGUGUAGCAAUACAGUCUUAGUGGCGAACGGGUGAGUAACGCGUUGGUGACCUGCCCCAAAGUGAGGGAUAACAGUUCGAAAGGACUGCUAAUACCCCAUGUGGUUUUAGAGAUUAGAGGCUUAAAAACUAAAGGUGCAAACCGCUUUGGGAGGGACCUGCGUCCCAUCAGCUAGUUGGUAGGGUAACGGCCUACCAAGGCGACGACGGGUAGGGGACCUGAGAGGGUGGCCCCCCACACUGGCACUGAAACACGGGCCAGACACCUACGGGUGGCAGCAGUAGGGAAUAUUGCACAAUGGGCGAAAGCCUGAUGCAGCAACGCCGCGUGCGCGAUGAAGGCCUUCGGGUCGUAAAGCGCUUUUCGGGGAGAUGAGGAAGGACAGUAUCCCCGGAAUAAGUCUCGGCUAACUACGUGCCAGCAGCCGCGGUAACACGUAGGAGGCAAGCGUUAUCCGAAUUUACUGGGCGUAAAGCGCGUGCAGGCGGUUCGGUAAGUUGGAUGUGAAAUCUCCUGGCUCAACUGGGAGAGGUCGUUCAAUACUGUCGGACUAGAGGAUGGUAGAGGGAGGUGGAAUUCCCGGUGUAGUGGUGAAAUGCGUAGAUAUCAGGAGGAACACCGGUGGCGAAGGCGACUUCCUGGUCCUAUACUGACGCUGAGACGCGUGAGCGUGGGGAGCAAACAGGAUUAGAUACCCUGGUAGUCCACGCCGUAAACGAUGUAAACGGGGUGUUGAGGGUAUUGACCCCUUCAGUGCCGAAGCUAACGCAUUAAGGAACCGCCCUGGGG